RNAcentral lists this transfer RNA (74 nucleotides) under Erwinia phage vB_EamM_Huxley. It matches the Rfam family "tRNA". Rfam says of the family: Transfer RNA (tRNA) molecules are approximately 80 nucleotides in length. Their secondary structure includes four short double-helical elements and three loops (D, anti-codon, and T loops). RNAcentral also lists the same sequence under 1 other name. The record is from Rfam by way of RNAcentral. Lineage: Duplodnaviria; Heunggongvirae; Uroviricota; Caudoviricetes; Chimalliviridae.
AUUCCCGUCAUCUAGUUGGUCCAGGAUACGACACUUUCACUGUCGGUACACGAGUUCAAAUCUCGUCGGGAAUA